RNAcentral lists this ribosomal RNA (271 nucleotides) under uncultured bacterium. RNAcentral describes it as "partial 16S ribosomal RNA". It matches the Rfam family "Bacterial small subunit ribosomal RNA", at positions 524 to 794 of the family's 1533-position model. The record is from RNAcentral.
UACGGAGGAUCCAAGCGUUAUCCGGAAUCAUUGGGUUUAAAGGGUCCGUAGGCGGUUUAAUAAGUCAGUGGUGAAAGCCUAUCGCUUAACGAUAGAACGGCCAUUGAUACUGUUAGACUUGAAUUAGUGGGAAGUAACUAGAAUAUGUAGUGUAGCGGUGAAAUGCAUAGAUAUGACACAGAACGCCGAUUGCGAAGGCAACUUACUAAGCCAUUACUGACGCUGAGGCACGAAAGCGUGGGUAGCGAACAGGAUUAGAAACCCGAGUAGU